RNAcentral lists this ribosomal RNA (478 nucleotides) under uncultured bacterium. RNAcentral's name for it is "partial 16S ribosomal RNA". It matches the Rfam family "Bacterial small subunit ribosomal RNA", at positions 28 to 523 of the family's 1533-position model. The record is from RNAcentral.
GACGAACGCUGGCGGCGUGCUUAACACAUGCAAGUCGAACGGUAAGGCCCUUCGGGGUACACGAGUGGCGAACGGGUGAGUAACACGUGGGUGAUCUGCCCUGCACUUCGGGAUAAGCCUGGGAAACUGGGUCUAAUACCGGAUAGGACCCUGGGAUGCAUGUCCUGGGGUGGAAAGCUUUUGCGGUGUGGGAUGGGCCCGCGGCCUAUCAGCUUGUUGGUGGGGUGAUGGCCUACCAAGGCGACGACGGGUAGCCGGCCUGAGAGGGUGACCGGGCACACGGGAACGGAGAUACGGCCCAGACUCCUACGGGAGGCGGCAGUGGGGAAUAUUGCACAAUGGGCGCAAGCCUGAUGCAGCGACGCCGCGUGAGGGAUGACGGCCUUCGGGUUGUAAACCUCUUUCAGCACCGACGAAGCGCAAGUGACGGUAGGUGCAGAAGAAGGACCGGCCAACUACGUGCCAGCAGCCGCAGUAA